AUUCUAUGCAACGCGAAGAUCCUUACCAAGGCUUGACAUACACGAGAACGGGCCAGAAAUGGUCAACUCUUGGGACACUCGUGAACAGGUGGUGCAUGGUUGUCGUCAGCUCGUGUCGUGAGAUGUUGGGUUAAGUCCCGCAACGAGCGCAACCCUCGUUCUAUGUUGCCAGCACGUAAUGGUGGGAACUCAUGGGAUACUGCCGGGGUCAACUCGGAGGAAGGUGGGGAUGACGUCAAAUCAUCAUGCCCCUUAUGUCUUGGGCUUCACGCAUGCUACAAUGGCCGGUACAAUGGGCUGCGAUACCGUAAGGUGGAGCGAAUCCCAAAAAGCCGGUCCCAGUUCGGAUUGAGGUCUGCAACUCGACCUCAUGAAGUCGGAGUCGCUAGUAAUCGCAGAUCAGCAACGCUGCGGUGAAUACGUUCCCGGGUCUUGUACACACCGCCCGUCAAGUCAUGAAAGUCGGUAACACCUGAAGCCGGUGGCCUAACCCCUUGUGGGAGGGAGCUGUCGAAGGUGGAUCGAAGGC
Molecule: ribosomal RNA, 529 nt
Filed under: Micrococcales bacterium
Lineage: Bacteria; Bacillati; Actinomycetota; Actinomycetes; Micrococcales
Description: bacterial SSU rRNA
Rfam family: Bacterial small subunit ribosomal RNA
Source: RNAcentral